CACCUCUCAGGGUCACACCUGGAGAGUUGCCAGUACUCUAUCAGUCUCGACUACAAGAGGGAGUGUCAAGCAGAGGCCUACCCAUUCCAUUCCUAGCCUCGGCAGUGGUUAGCGAGUGGAAGGCAAUCAGCUACAAGU
Molecule: small nucleolar RNA, 138 nt
Filed under: Ornithorhynchus anatinus (platypus)
Lineage: Eukaryota; Metazoa; Chordata; Mammalia; Monotremata; Ornithorhynchidae
Source: RNAcentral